Molecule: ribosomal RNA, 422 nt
Filed under: Processa bermudensis
Lineage: Eukaryota; Metazoa; Arthropoda; Malacostraca; Decapoda; Processidae
Description: partial 16S ribosomal RNA
Rfam family: Archaeal large subunit ribosomal RNA
Source: RNAcentral
GGUAGCAUAAUCAGUAGUCUCUUAAUUGGAGGCUGGAAUGAAUGGUCGGACAAGAAUCAAGUUGUCUCCUCUAUAGAAUUUGAAUUUAACCUUUAAGUGAAAAGGCUUAAAUAAGCUGAAGGGACGAUAAGACCCUAUAAAACUUUACUAGAUAGAUGUACUUUUUUGAUUGAGAUGUUUAAAGGGUACUUGCAUUUUUCUCGUUUUGUUGGGGCGACAGAAAUAUAAUUUACUUUUUAUAACUGUUAGAAAAAAUAAAUAGUAAUAAUUGAUCCGUACGUAGCGAUUAUAAGAUUAAGUUACUUUAGGGAUAACAGCGUAAUUUUUUUUGAGAGUUCUUAUCGACAAAAUUAGUUGCGACCUCGAUGUUGAAUUAAAGUUUCCUUUUUGUGUAGCAGCAUAUAGGGUGGGUCUGUUCGACC